This is an RNA transcript of Hermetia illucens (black soldier fly), 1775 nucleotides long. It is a transcript of the gene named ATP-sensitive inward rectifier potassium channel 15, with no coding region annotated. The transcript has 8 exons. Lineage: Eukaryota; Metazoa; Arthropoda; Insecta; Diptera; Stratiomyidae. The record is from RefSeq and is a predicted model, not a curated record.
UGGCUUAUCAGCGGCCAAAUGUGGAUCUUUUCAAUCAGUUUAGCUCAUACUGUUAUUCCAGGCGGGUCGUUGUGAUUCUAUUAAGAACAAUAGGUCCGAGCGAAGUGUAUGAAUCCUCCACAUAUUCAGUCGAGUAUUGUUAAGUGUUUGACGCUCCAAAGUAAAAUCUUUCCUCGUUAUAAGCACAUCCGUUUAAUUGCAAAAUGAAGCGUUCUAUAUCAAUGCCCGUGAAACCUCGAUACAUCGAAGAUCUACCCCCUCUUGAACGAUCAGAGGAACGAGAGGAGCUUUUCCACAACGAGAACUUCUGCAGCAAACGCACGUUACCGUCGAACGGAGGAUGCUACAAUCCCUAUGAAAUUAUCGAAGAGGAUCAACAUUUCAUCGCUCAGAAAGAACUAAUUGAUUUCAGCGAAAACUGGAAAAGACAAAAAAGUCGCGAGGUCUACACCGCUAGAGUGAUAGCUCAAUCAGGUCACCAUAACGUAUCAUUUUUCAAAAUUCCUGGUAGAUCCUGGCAAUAUUUUAAGGAUUUGAUCACUACUUUGAUUGAGCAGGAAUGGCCCUACACAUUUUUUAUAUUCCUGUCCACGUUCUUCAUCACGUGGAUGGUUUUCACUUGCCUUUGGUAUUUAAUCGCCUACGCGCAUGGUGAUCUUAACUACGAUGAACAAAGUGGCGAAAGCUUGAUGGAAGGCCAGCAGCCCUGCGUAAUCGGCGCUCAAAGUCUCACUGCUCUAUUUAUCUACACAGUGGAGACUCAAGUAUCCAUCGGGUUCGGCGAAAAAUAUCCAAGUGACGAAUGCCCUGAAGGAGUUUUCCUAUUCGUUUCACAACUUAUAGUGUAUAUAGGCAUUGAAGGAGCCAUGGUGGGAAUAGUAUACGCAAAAGUUGCACGACCAUCGAAACAAGUUUCCGAGCCCAAAUUCAGCAGAAAAGCCGUUAUUUGCCAACGUGACGGAAAUAUCUGCCUGGUAAUAAGAGUUUGUGAUCAAAAAGGACAACAAGCUAUCGGAACUAAAAUCAGGGUAUUUUUACUAGAAGAUAGAAGAUCGCAAGAAGGUGAAUACCUCGGAAAAUGUUUAAAUGAAUUGAAAAUUGAAGACAGUGGAACUCCGUUUAUAUUAUGGCCUACUACAAUUUGUCAUUUCAUUGAUAGAAGAAGUCCCUUCUACAAAUAUAUCUGUGAAGAUUAUACUAAUAAAGAAUUUGAAGUUAUAGUUUCAUUAACAGGUAGUUCGCCAUCUUCUGGGCAAAUCACCGAAUCCAGGACAUCGUAUUUACCAAAAGAAAUUACCUGGGGCGAAUGCUUCGUCAAUAUCAUUCAUUAUAAUGCAUCGAAAAAUGUGUAUACAAUCGAUUACGAAAACUUCAACGCAACUGUCCCGGUUCAACCGUUUCCGAGUAAAUUGGAUGUGACAGACAGACAGGCAUUAUGUUUCACAAAGUUCUAGCAAUCUAAUUACAUGAGCAGUUACAGAAGCCAACAAUCCCUCUGCUACCUCAAUUAUAGGGUAAAUCCGGUUAAACGCACGCAUGGAAAUACGUCGCAAAUCGGUAUAUUUUAAUGACUUGUAAAUUUCCCUGACAUGCAAAUAAUAGCAAUGGAUAACUUACAGGAAACCAUGUCAGGAGCUAUGUGCCAAUGGUGUCUUUAACAGAAUUCGUCUUUGAGAGAUCCUCCAAAACGCAACCACCUACGAAGCACUUUAGACUCAGUCAAUAUAAAACGCAUGAAAUAUGAUGUAUAUUAUAAAAUGGCCACCUGCCGCUAG